GACGAAGGGGGCUAGCGUUGUUCGGAAUUACUGGGCGUAAAGCGCGUGUAGGCGGUUGUCCAAGUUGGAUGUGAAAGCCUUGAGCUCAACUCAAGAAAUGCAUUCAGGACUGGGCGACUAGAGGACCGGAGAGGAUAGUGGAAUUCCCAGUGUAGUGGUGAAAUACGUAGAGAUUGGGAAGAACACCAGUGGCGAAGGCGGCUAUCUGGACGGUUUCUGACGCUAAGACGCGAAAGCGUGGGGAGCGAACAGG
Molecule: ribosomal RNA, 253 nt
Filed under: uncultured bacterium
Lineage: Bacteria
Description: partial 16S ribosomal RNA
Rfam family: Bacterial small subunit ribosomal RNA
Source: RNAcentral